GGCGAUGUAGCUCAGCUGGUUAGAGCGCGCGCUUCAUAAGCGUGAGGUCGUGAGUUCAAGUCUCACCAUCGCCACCA
Molecule: transfer RNA, 77 nt
Filed under: Chloroflexota bacterium
Lineage: Bacteria; Bacillati; Chloroflexota
Also listed under: 3 other names
Description: Chloroflexi bacterium tRNA-Met
Rfam family: tRNA
About the family: Transfer RNA (tRNA) molecules are approximately 80 nucleotides in length. Their secondary structure includes four short double-helical elements and three loops (D, anti-codon, and T loops). Further hydrogen bonds mediate the characteristic L-shaped molecular structure. tRNAs have two regions of fundamental functional importance: the anti-codon, which is responsible for specific mRNA codon recognition, and the 3' end, to which the tRNAs corresponding amino acid is attached (by aminoacyl-tRNA synthetases). tRNAs cope with the degeneracy of the genetic code in two manners: having more than one tRNA (with a specific anti-codon) for a particular amino acid; and 'wobble' base-pairing, i.e. permitting non-standard base-pairing at the 3rd anti-codon position.
Source: RNAcentral